Athene cunicularia (burrowing owl) is the source of this 1561-nucleotide long non-coding RNA. RefSeq lists it as uncharacterized. The record is from RefSeq and is a predicted model, not a curated record. The transcript has 5 exons. Lineage: Eukaryota; Metazoa; Chordata; Aves; Strigiformes; Strigidae.
UCCAUCUAGCACAAAGCAGAAAGAAACAUUUCUUCUUUGUUAUGACUAAAAAUUCUAUAACAAAAUAUGGAGUUAUCCAAGUGUUACUGUAUCAUAGGUAACAACACUGAACUGUUGUCAAACUUUCAGCGGCGGUAUGGCGUGGAAUGACAAGCCUUUGUGACAUUGGGUUGUUCAGUCAGUAUUGCCUUGUGAAUUGAUUUUGCAGCCUGAAACAACCUGGAUUAGUUUGAGUUGUAACUCUGUCACAGACUGGGUUGAAGAUUCUGUGCACAUCACUUUUCUUCUGUCUGUUACCUUACCUGUCAGAUGGGAUGAUAAUUCUUGCCUGCCUUACUGGAGUGCAGUGAAGAUUCGGUAGCAAUUUUAGACAUAAAUUAUCACAUGAUUUUCUGAGACUACAGUUGGUACAAGACACAGAGAUGCCAAUGGUUUGUCAUCUCCAGAAAUAGAUCAUGCCAGUCCUUAGCAUGAUUUUUCACAGUUAGACAGCAAUUAUUUGCAGAGUAGUACCAGGCUAAAAAGGUCUGUGUGGUUGGUUGCUAUCUGUUAGAAGGAGGGAUGAAGAAACAUUUAGAAAUUGCUAGCCUCUGUUUAAAAGCUGAGGUGCCAGUUAUCACCUUCUUCCAUUUCAUAGCUCUACUAAAACAUAAGGAAGUAGAUCCUCUAUCCUCAGUCUUAGAACGCCCAUCAGCUUAGUACAGAGAUGUUGCUACAGGACUAGGAAAAUCAGCUGAAGAUCCCGUCCUUUUGGGUUGUUGUCAUUGUCAUGUUUUUAACUGUCAUUACAGCAAAAUAUUUCUUAAUAUUCUGAAUUCAUUCACAUCUGAAGACAAGAGUUCUGAGAGUGCACUUUUUAUUUACACCCCACUUACUGUGCGGAUUUCCAUACAACUUGAGUUCAAUCAAAUACCUGAGUCACACUAAAUGAAGAUUGCAAAGAGCCAGAGACAAAAAAGAGAAAAUCACAUCUGAAGGACAUUUCGAUACUUAACUGGCCUGUGGACACCUUCUUUAGUGCUAUCAAGGACACCCAAAAAUUAUUUUAUUCUUCAGUUCCUGGAAGGAUGAAGGAAAAAGAAACUAAAGGUUGAGAAUAAAGCAGAAAGUGACAGAAAGUGAGGAUCCGAGAAUCCAGUAACUAUAUAAUCAAAACCAGUAGCAAUUCCAGUGGACUUCUGUGGUCUUCAGAUCAAGCCGACCAUUUUGUGUCCUGUGAUUAAUAGGAUGAUGGGUCCCCAACACAGGACCUCUCAAUACACAGUAGGAACUGUGUCACAGGUUCUGAGUUACAAGGAUGAACCUCCCAGAAACCUCAAUGGGAUUUUCACUUCAUAAAAUUAAAAGAAAUUUUUACCAUAAAUCAUUAACACUUGACCUAAGAUGUGGGGACUGAGAAGGAACUUAGUGAAGAAGGAGAGAUGAAGACAAGAUACAUCAAAAGACUCCAAUUCCUCAGGCAAAACCAGAAAAUGUCAGAACUGAAGAAGAUGUGCCGAGACUCAUGACCAGAAGGUUUUCAAGCCGGAAGGCAGAAAAGGAUCCCUUUGUGGUUGAAGAA